Molecule: ribosomal RNA, 255 nt
Filed under: uncultured bacterium
Lineage: Bacteria
Description: partial 16S ribosomal RNA
Rfam family: Bacterial small subunit ribosomal RNA
Source: RNAcentral
UACGGGGGGGGCAAGCGUUGUUCGGAUUUACUGGGCGUAAAGGGCGCGUAGGCGGUAGCACAAGUCAGUUGUGAAAAUCUCCGGGCUUAACCCGGAAAGGUCAACUGAUACUGUGCGAACUAGAGUGCGGAAGGGGCAACUGGAAUUCUCGGUGUAGCGGUGAAAUGCGUAGAUAUCGAGAGGAACACCUGCGGCGAAGGCGGGUUGCUGGGCUGACACUGACGCUGAUGCGCGAAAGCCAGGGAGGCGAACGGG